This 441-nucleotide ribosomal RNA is filed under the name uncultured bacterium. RNAcentral's name for it is "partial 16S ribosomal RNA". It matches the Rfam family "Bacterial small subunit ribosomal RNA", at positions 338 to 795 of the family's 1533-position model. The record is from RNAcentral.
CCUACGGUGGGCAGCAGUGGGGAAUAUUGCACAAUGGGGGAAACCCUGAUGCAGCGACGCCGCGUGAGUGAAGAAGUAUUUCGGUAUGUAAAGCUCUAUCAGCAGGAACGAGACAAGACGGUACCUGACUAAGAAGCCCCGGCUAACUACGUGCCAGCAGCCGCGGUAAUACGUAGGGGGCAAGCGUUAUCCGGAAUGACUGGGUGUAAGGGGAGCGUAGACGGCUGAGCAAGCCUGAAGUGAAAGGCGGGGGCCCAACCCCCGGACUGCUUUGGGAACUGUACGGCUGGAGUGCAGGGGAGGUAAGUGGAAUUCCUAGUGUAGCGGUGAAAUGCGUAGAUAUUAGGAGGAACACCAGUGGCGAAGGCGGCUUACUGGACUGUAACUGACGUUGAGGCUCGAAAGCGUGGGGAGCAAACAGGAUUAGAUACCCGAGUAGUC